This 317-nucleotide long non-coding RNA is filed under the name Rosa chinensis. RNAcentral's name for it is "sRNA RchiOBHm_Chr5g0027971". The record is from RNAcentral. Lineage: Eukaryota; Viridiplantae; Streptophyta; Magnoliopsida; Rosales; Rosaceae.
GAAUGAAGAUUUCAUGGAUUGAACUCAUCUUCGUCUCAUCGUCUCAUCGUCUGUUGAUUAAUUGAUUAACUGUCAAGCGGUUCUACAAAUCUGAGUUGCUUUUUUCUUUUCCUUUCAUAGUUUCAUUGUGCAUCAGUGCAUCAGUGCAUAUAAUUGUGACUUGUAUUGUGGUUUUUUAUUUUUCUUAAAUUAGUUAUUAUGAAAAGUAGUUGAUUCAAAGUUAAUUUCUUGGUGAAUAGACUUAGAAUAGACUUAGAAAUAGACUUAGAAACAAGAUGGAAGAUGAGUUUCUUGGUGAUUGUAUGGUCCUUCAUAUU